Molecule: microRNA precursor, 164 nt
Filed under: Linum usitatissimum (flax)
Lineage: Eukaryota; Viridiplantae; Streptophyta; Magnoliopsida; Malpighiales; Linaceae
Description: miR399a stem-loop (lus-MIR399a)
Gene: lus-MIR399a
Rfam family: mir-399 microRNA precursor family (bases 21-138)
About the family: mir-399 was identified in both Arabidopsis thaliana and Oryza sativa computationally and was later experimentally verified. mir-399 is thought to target mRNAs coding for a phosphatase transporter. The mature sequence is excised from the 3' arm of the hairpin.
Source: miRBase by way of RNAcentral
AGAAUGAAUGAGUGUCGGAGUUGAGAAAUCACAGGGCAAGUACCUCUAUUGGCAGGCAGUCACUUAGACAUAUGUACUAAUUUUUCAAUUUGUCUAAGUGCAUUGUCUGCCAAAGGAGAUUUGCCCGGCGAUUCUUCCACUGCUUAUCGAAACAUGUUCCGUCU